ACGGGUGUAGCUCAAUUGGUAGAGUAGCGGUCUCCAAAACCGUUGGCUGUGGGUUCGAGUCCUACCACCCGUGCUA
This 76-nucleotide transfer RNA is filed under the name Cytophagales bacterium. RNAcentral describes it as "tRNA-Trp". It matches the Rfam family "tRNA". Rfam says of the family: Transfer RNA (tRNA) molecules are approximately 80 nucleotides in length. Their secondary structure includes four short double-helical elements and three loops (D, anti-codon, and T loops). Further hydrogen bonds mediate the characteristic L-shaped molecular structure. tRNAs have two regions of fundamental functional importance: the anti-codon, which is responsible for specific mRNA codon recognition, and the 3' end, to which the tRNAs corresponding amino acid is attached (by aminoacyl-tRNA synthetases). tRNAs cope with the degeneracy of the genetic code in two manners: having more than one tRNA (with a specific anti-codon) for a particular amino acid; and 'wobble' base-pairing, i.e. permitting non-standard base-pairing at the 3rd anti-codon position. Lineage: Bacteria; Pseudomonadati; Bacteroidota; Cytophagia; Cytophagales. The record is from RNAcentral.